RNAcentral lists this ribosomal RNA (598 nucleotides) under Escherichia sp. E3659. Its description in RNAcentral is "partial 23S ribosomal RNA". It matches the Rfam family "Bacterial large subunit ribosomal RNA", at positions 1 to 629 of the family's 2925-position model. The record is from RNAcentral. Lineage: Bacteria; Pseudomonadati; Pseudomonadota; Gammaproteobacteria; Enterobacterales; Enterobacteriaceae.
GGGUUGUGAGGUUAAGCGACUAAGCGUACACGGUGGAUGCCCUGGCAGUCAGAGGCGAUGAAGGACGUGCUAAUCUGCGAUAAGCGUCGGUAAGGUGAUAUGAACCGUUAUAACCGGCGAUUUCCGAAUGGGGAAACCCAGUGUGAUUCGUCACACUAUCAUUAACUGAAUCCAUAGGUUAAUGAGGCGAACCGGGGGAACUGAAACAUCUAAGUACCCCGAGGAAAAGAAAUCAACCGAGAUUCCCCCAGUAGCGGCGAGCGAACGGGGAGCAGCCCAGAGCCUGAAUCAGUGUGUGUGUUAGUGGAAGCGUCUGGAAAGGCGUGCGAUACAGGGUGACAGCCCCGUACACAAAAAUGCACAUGCUGUGAGCUCGAUGAGUAGGGCGGGACACGUGGUAUCCUGUCUGAAUAUGGGGGGACCAUCCUCCAAGGCUAAAUACUCCUGACUGACCGAUAGUGAACCAGUACCGUGAGGGAAAGGCGAAAAGAACCCCGGCGAGGGGAGUGAAAAAGAACCUGAAACCGUGUACGUACAAGCAGUGGGAGCCUCUUUAAUGGGGUGACUGCGUACCUUUUGUAUAAUGGGUCAGCGACUU